UAGAGUUUUCAAAACUCCCAACCCAUGUUAACUUACCUAUGUUGCCUCGGCGGCAGCCUACCCUGUACCUACCCUGUAACGGGUUACCCGGGAGCGGCCCCGCCGGUGGACUUUUUAACUCUUGUUAUUUUAUGUAAUCUGAGAGUCUUAUUUUAAAUAAGUCA
This 164-nucleotide unclassified non-coding RNA is filed under the name uncultured Ascomycota. Its description in RNAcentral is "sequence contains ITS1". Lineage: Eukaryota; Fungi; Ascomycota. The record is from RNAcentral.